AAGAGACAGCAGUCGCCGCGGGAAUACGGAGGGUGCAAGCGUUAAUCGGAAUUACUGGGCGUAAAGCGCACGCAGGCGGUCUGUCAAGUCGGAUGUGAAAUCCCCGGGCUCAACCUGGGAACUGCAUUCGAAACUGGCAGGCUAGAGUCUUGUAGAGGGGGGUAGAAUUCCAGGUGUAGCGGUGAAAUGCGUAGAGAUCUGGAGGAAUACCGGUGGCGAAGGCGGCCCCCUGGACAAAGACUGACGCUCAGGUGCGAAAGCGUGGGGAGCAAACAGGAUUAGAUACCCCGGUAGUCCCUGUCUCUUAUAC
RNAcentral lists this ribosomal RNA (310 nucleotides) under uncultured bacterium. Its description in RNAcentral is "partial 16S ribosomal RNA". It matches the Rfam family "Bacterial small subunit ribosomal RNA", at positions 503 to 807 of the family's 1533-position model. The record is from RNAcentral.